CGGGGUUUAGCUCAGUUGGCUAGAGUGUGCGCUUUGGGAGCGUGAGGCCACAGGUUCGAGUCCUGUAACCCCGACCA
RNAcentral lists this transfer RNA (77 nucleotides) under Candidatus Peregrinibacteria bacterium. Its description in RNAcentral is "tRNA-Pro". It matches the Rfam family "tRNA". Rfam says of the family: Transfer RNA (tRNA) molecules are approximately 80 nucleotides in length. Lineage: Bacteria; Candidatus Peregrinibacteriota. RNAcentral also lists the same sequence under 1 other name. The record is from RNAcentral.